GACGAACGCUGGCGGCGUGCUUAACACAUGCAAGUCGAACGAUGAACCCGGAGCUUGCUCUGGGGGAUUAGUGGCGAACGGGUGAGUAACACGUGAGUAACCUGCCCUGGACUCUGGGAUAAGCGUUGGAAACGACGUCUAAUACCGGAUAGGACCUUGGAUCGCAUGAUCUGGGGUGGAAAGUUUUUUCGGUCUGGGAUGGACUCGCGGCCUAUCAGCUUGUUGGUGAGGUAAUGGCUCACCAAGGCGUCGACGGGUAGCCGGCCUGAGGGGGUGACCGGCCACACUGGGACUGAGACACGGCCCAGACUCCUACGGGAGGCAGCAGUGGGGAAUAUUGCACAAUGGGCGAAAGCCUGAUGCAGCAACGCCGCGUGCGGGAUGACGGCCUUCGGGUUGUAAACCGCUUUUAGUAGGGAAGAAGGGCUUCGGCUUGACGGUACCUGCAGAAAAAGGACCGGCUAACUACGUG
RNAcentral lists this ribosomal RNA (472 nucleotides) under uncultured bacterium. RNAcentral describes it as "partial 16S ribosomal RNA". It matches the Rfam family "Bacterial small subunit ribosomal RNA", at positions 28 to 507 of the family's 1533-position model. The record is from RNAcentral.